Molecule: long non-coding RNA, 287 nt
Organism: Fukomys damarensis (Damara mole-rat)
Lineage: Eukaryota; Metazoa; Chordata; Mammalia; Rodentia; Bathyergidae
Exons: 4
Source: RefSeq, a predicted model, not a curated record
CGGGGGGGUCGGAAGGGAGCCGCCAAGUCAUCACUUCUAUAAAUGUGUCCGUUGAAACUACAAAGGUGGAGACGCAUACCACCCACACUGUCAACUCUGGAUGGGAGGCCUUCUAAACGCCUUGAAGAGAUGCAGGCUGCAGUUUGUCCACACUGACUGCCCCCGACCAUUUGGGAAAGGAAAUUAUUUUCGCUUUUGAUUGACACCCAUAGAAACAGCCAAUUUUAGCAUCAGACUAGAGGCUUAUCCUCCACGGGUUUCCUCUAAGAGGGAAAAGGGAAACACGG